This 73-nucleotide transfer RNA is filed under the name Anaerolineales bacterium. RNAcentral describes it as "tRNA-Thr". It matches the Rfam family "tRNA". From Rfam's summary of the family: Transfer RNA (tRNA) molecules are approximately 80 nucleotides in length. Their secondary structure includes four short double-helical elements and three loops (D, anti-codon, and T loops). Further hydrogen bonds mediate the characteristic L-shaped molecular structure. tRNAs have two regions of fundamental functional importance: the anti-codon, which is responsible for specific mRNA codon recognition, and the 3' end, to which the tRNAs corresponding amino acid is attached (by aminoacyl-tRNA synthetases). tRNAs cope with the degeneracy of the genetic code in two manners: having more than one tRNA (with a specific anti-codon) for a particular amino acid; and 'wobble' base-pairing, i.e. permitting non-standard base-pairing at the 3rd anti-codon position. The record is from RNAcentral. Lineage: Bacteria; Bacillati; Chloroflexota; Anaerolineae; Anaerolineales.
GCCACCUUAGCUCAGUUGGUAGAGCAGAUAAUUCGUAAUUAUCAGGUCGUGGGUUCGUCUCCCACAGGUGGCU